This 320-nucleotide ribosomal RNA is filed under the name uncultured eukaryote. RNAcentral describes it as "partial 18S ribosomal RNA". It matches the Rfam family "Eukaryotic small subunit ribosomal RNA", at positions 1470 to 1796 of the family's 1831-position model. The record is from RNAcentral.
CCCCUAGAUGUUCUGGGCCGCACGCGCGCUACACUGAACAGUUCAACGAGUCUUAACCUUGGCCGAUAGGUCUGGGUAAUCUUUGAACGCUGUUCGUGAUUGGGAUAGACCUUUGCAAUUAUGGGUCUUCAACGAGGAAUUCCUAGUAAACGCAAGUCAUCAGCUUGCAUUGAUUACGUCCCUGCCCUUUGUACACACCGCCCGUCGCACCUACCGAUUGAAUGGUCCGGUGAAAUCUCGGGACGGCGGCUUGGUCGCUUGCGUCCGACUGCUGAAACUUGAUUAAACCAUNUNAUUUAGNGGAAGGUGAANUCGUANCA